RNAcentral lists this unclassified non-coding RNA (339 nucleotides) under soil metagenome. RNAcentral's name for it is "partial contains 5.8S ribosomal RNA, internal transcribed spacer 2, and large subunit ribosomal RNA". The stretch from base 1 to 120 matches the Rfam family "5.8S ribosomal RNA", at positions 35 to 154 of the family's 154-position model. The record is from RNAcentral.
GAUGAAGAACGUAGCGAAAUGCGAUACGUAGUGUGAAUUGCAGAAUUCAGUGAAUCAUCGAAUCUUUGAACGCACAUUGCACCUCUCGGUAUCCCGGGAGGUAUGCCUGUUCGAGCGUCAUUUGUACCCUCAAGCUCUGCUUGGUGUUGGGUGUUUGUUCCGCCUCUGUGUGUGAACUCGCCUCAAAACAAUUGGCAGCCGGCGUACUUGUUUCGGAGCGCAGCACAUUUUGCGAUCCAGAUCAACGUACAGCGGCAUCCAAGAAGCCUUAUUUAACGCUCUUGACCUCGGAUCAGGUAGGGAUACCCGCUGAACUUAAGCAUAUCAAUAAGCGGAGGA